AAGUAGUGUGACAUGCCCGUUUGGGAUUUACUCUGAUAAUUAUUUAAUAUUUAAUUGCUUUGGGAUAACGGGGUGUUACAGAAACUAUU
This is a microRNA precursor of Medicago truncatula (barrel medic), 89 nucleotides long. It matches the Rfam family "MIR2617 microRNA precursor family". NCBI's taxonomy places the organism in Eukaryota, Viridiplantae, Streptophyta, Magnoliopsida, Fabales, Fabaceae. The record is from Rfam.